Molecule: ribosomal RNA, 1499 nt
Filed under: Staphylococcus haemolyticus
Lineage: Bacteria; Bacillati; Bacillota; Bacilli; Caryophanales; Staphylococcaceae
Description: bacterial SSU rRNA
Rfam family: Bacterial small subunit ribosomal RNA
Source: RNAcentral
CCGGCUCGGAUGAACGCGGGCGGCGGCUUAUUCAUGCAAGUCGAGCGAACAGACAAGGAGCUUGCUCCUUUGACGUUAGCGGCGGACGGGUGAGUAACACGUGGGUAACCUACCUAUAAGACUGGGAUAACUUCGGGAAACCGGAGCUAAUACCGGAUAAUAUUUCGAACCGCAUGGUUCGAUAGUGAAAGAUGGUUUUGCUAUCACUUAUAGAUGGACCCGCGCCGUAUUAGCUAGUUGGUAAGGUAACGGCUUACCAAGGCGACGAUACGUAGCCGACCUGAGAGGGUGAUCGGCCACACUGGAACUGAGACACGGUCCAGACUCCUACGGGAGGCAGCAGUAGGGAAUCUUCCGCAAUGGGCGAAAGCCUGACGGAGCAACGCCGCGUGAGUGAUGAAGGUCUUCGGAUCGUAAAACUCUGUUAUUAGGGAAGAACAUACGUGUAAGUAACUAUGCACGUCUUGACGGUACCUAAUCAGAAAGCCACGGCUAACUACGUGCCAGCAGCCGCGGUAAUACGUAGGUGGCAAGCGUUAUCCGGAAUUAUUGGGCGUAAAGCGCGCGUAGGCGGUUUUUUAAGUCUGAUGUGAAAGCCCACGGCUCAACCGUGGAGGGUCAUUGGAAACUGGAAAACUUGAGUGCAGAAGAGGAAAGUGGAAUUCCAUGUGUAGCGGUGAAAUGCGCAGAGAUAUGGAGGAACACCAGUGGCGAAGGCGACUUUCUGGUCUGUAACUGACGCUGAUGUGCGAAAGCGUGGGGAUCAAACAGGAUUAGAUACCCUGGUAGUCCACGCCGUAAACGAUGAGUGCUAAGUGUUAGGGGGUUUCCGCCCCUUAGUGCUGCAGCUAACGCAUUAAGCACUCCGCCUGGGGAGUACGACCGCAAGGUUGAAACUCAAAGGAAUUGACGGGGACCCGCACAAGCGGUGGAGCAUGUGGUUUAAUUCGAAGCAACGCGAAGAACCUUACCAAAUCUUGACAUCCUUUGACAACUCUAGAGAUAGAGCCUUCCCCUUCGGGGGACAAAGUGACAGGUGGUGCAUGGUUGUCGUCAGCUCGUGUCGUGAGAUGUUGGGUUAAGUCCCGCAACGAGCGCAACCCUUAAGCUUAGUUGCCAUCAUUAAGUUGGGCACUCUAAGUUGACUGCCGGUGACAAACCGGAGGAAGGUGGGGAUGACGUCAAAUCAUCAUGCCCCUUAUGAUUUGGGCUACACACGUGCUACAAUGGACAAUACAAAGGGCAGCGAAACCGCGAGGUCAAGCAAAUCCCAUAAAGUUGUUCUCAGUUCGGAUUGUAGUCUGCAACUCGACUACAUGAAGCUGGAAUCGCUAGUAAUCGUAGAUCAGCAUGCUACGGUGAAUACGUUCCCGGGUCUUGUACACACCGCCCGUCACACCACGAGAGUUUGUAACACCCGAAGCCGGUGGAGUAACCAUUUGGAGCUAGCCGUCGAAGGUGGGACAAAUGAUUGGGGUGAAGUCGACAAGGGGUAACAA